Molecule: ribosomal RNA, 497 nt
Filed under: uncultured bacterium
Lineage: Bacteria
Description: partial 16S ribosomal RNA
Rfam family: Bacterial small subunit ribosomal RNA
Source: RNAcentral
GAUGAACGCUGGCGGCGUGCCUAAUACAUGCAAGUCGAGCGAACGGACGAGAAGCUUGCUUCUCUGAUGUUAGCGGCGGACGGGUGAGUAACACGUGGAUAACCUACCUAUAAGACUGGGAUAACUUCGGGAAACCGGAGCUAAUACCGGAUGAUAUUUUGAACCGCAUGGUUCAAAAGUGAAAGACGGUCUUGCUGUCACUUAUAGAUGGAUCCGCGCUGCAUUAGCUAGUUGGUAAGGUAACGGCUUACCAAGGCAACGAUGCAUAGCCGACCUGAGAGGGUGAUCGGCCACACUGGAACUGAGACACGGUCCAGACUCCUACGGGAGGCAGCAGUAGGGAAUCUUCCGCAAUGGGCGAAAGCCUGACGGAGCAACGCCGCGUGAGUGAUGAAGGUCUUCGGAUCGUAAAACUCUGUUAUUAGGGAAGAACAUAUGUGUAAGUAACUUUGCACAUCUUGACGGUACCUAAUCAGAAAGCCACGGCUAACUACGUG